Long non-coding RNA from Oncorhynchus tshawytscha (Chinook salmon), 965 nucleotides. The record is from Ensembl. Lineage: Eukaryota; Metazoa; Chordata; Actinopteri; Salmoniformes; Salmonidae.
GACGGAGUCAGAUGUUCCCCCAAUUAUAAGAACAGUCUUGCGGAAUCCUCGCCACUGAUUCUCCGCCCCUCCCUGAGUUCGUUCCAUACUCUUCUGCCCCGCAUCCCGACUUGUUUGAUUGACAGCUCUGCUUAACCCGAAACCAUUAAAUCACUACAGAUGCUGAAGUGAAUGGAGUCAUCUACUGGCAGGAGAAAGACCUUCGUGACUUGAGGACUCAUGCAGGAGGACUAUUGUCUUUAAAAAAGUAGGUUCCUCAGAAGCGCUUGAAGGACCCUCAGAACAUCCUCAGUGCAAGGAUUGCGCACUGAGUGUAGGAUGGCUAUACAGAACACGCAAAUAGUUGGAUGACAUUAACGGACUAGAUUUUAUUGACAUGAGUCCUGUUUGCACGUGGGAAAUGAAUGGACCAGUCAUCGGGCUUUAGAGGGAAACAACCUGUUUAACUGUACAGAUGGGUAGGCCUAGCCCAUAGCCAUGUAGCCAUAUCGAAUGAAAAAUGGAUUUGCUCGCUUCGUAAUAUUGGAGCAGAUACCCAGGCGAAAAUGCGGAUUAGUCAAACCACCUUGAGCGACACAAACGGCUUUCUAAUCAAUUUUACUCGCUGAGACGGUCAGUGAGUGUUUACGGGGUCUGGGGCGAGGAAUCAGUGACUGCUAGACCGAACAAUGGUGUAUCGUGUGCCACUCGCCAUCUCCAGGCAUUCCCUCGCUCCCACGGGAGUACCAGCCGCCACUUUCUGGGAGGGGGAGGGGGGGGUGGCCCAUGACGCAGCAGCUGGCUCUCGUCCCCUCUGUCCACUGCGGAGAGAACAACGGGAUAAUGCGGCCCACCACGUCCGUAUCGACCGCUAUAUAUUGCGCUCAUUUAUUUGUUUACUUAUUUAAGUAAGCAGUGUGCCUCCAGUAGCCGUGAUGUAGCCGUUCUGCUGGGUGGUGAAGGAAUGCAGCACCAGCUGGCCGUUU